Molecule: ribosomal RNA, 1521 nt
Filed under: uncultured bacterium
Lineage: Bacteria
Description: bacterial SSU rRNA
Rfam family: Bacterial small subunit ribosomal RNA
Source: RNAcentral
AGAGUUUGAUCAUGGCUCAGGAUAAACGCUGGCGGCGCACAUAAGACAUGCAAGUCGAACGAACUUAAUCGAAAGUUUACUUUUGAAGCGGUUAGUGGCGGACUGGUGAGUAACGCGUAAGCAAUCUGCCUAUCAGAGGGGAAUAACAGUGAGAAAUCAUUGCUAAUACCGCAUAAGCUGUGAGUAUCGCAUGAUACAAAUAGAAAAGGAGCAAUCCGCUGAUAGAUGAGCUUGCGUCUGAUUAGUUAGUUGGUGGGGUAACGGCCUACCAAGACGAUGAUCAGUAGCCGGACUGAGAGGUUAAACGGCCACAUUGGGACUGAGAUACGGCCCAGACUCCUACGGGAGGCAGCAGUCGGGAAUAUUGCGCAAUGGAGGAAACUCUGACGCAGUGACGCCGCGUGCAGGAAGAAGGUUUUCGGAUUGUAAACUGCUUUAGAUAGGGAAGAAAAAAAUGACGGUACCUAUAGAAUAAGCUCCGGCUAACUACGUGCCAGCAGCCGCGGUAAUACGUAGGGAGCGAGCGUUAUCCGGAUUUAUUGGGUGUAAAGGGUGCGUAGACGGGCUAGCAAGUUAGCUGUGAAAUCCCUCGGCUUAACUGAGGAACUGCAGCUAAAACUACUAAUCUUGAGUACUGGAGGGGAAAGCGGAAUUCCUAGUGUAGCGGUGAAAUGCGUAGAUAUUAGGAAGAACACCGGUGGCGAAGGCGGCUUUCUGGACAGAAACUGACGUUGAGGCACGAAAGUGUGGGGAGCAAACAGGAUUAGAUACCCUGGUAGUCCACACCGUAAACGAUGGAUACUAGGUGUAGGUGGUGAUGAAUCAUCUGUGCCGUCGCAAACGCAAUAAGUAUCCCACCUGGGGAGUACGACCGCAAGGUUGAAACUCAAAGGAAUUGACGGGGGCCCGCACAAGCAGUGGAGUAUGUGGUUUAAUUCGACGCAACGCGAAGAACCUUACCAAGGCUUGACAUAUGCAGGAAUAACAUAGAAAUAUGUUAGCUCUUCGGAGUCUGCAUACAGGUGGUGCAUGGUUGUCGUCAGCUCGUGUCGUGAGAUGUUAGGUUAAGUCCUGCAACGAGCGCAACCCCUGUUUCUAGUUGCCAGCGCGUAAUGGCGGGAACUCUAGAGAGACUGCCGGUAAUAAAUCGGAGGAAGGUGGGGAUGACGUCAAAUCAUCAUGCCUUUUAUGUCUUGGGCAACACACGUACUACAAUGGCCGUGACAGAGAGACGCAACACAGUGAUGUGAAGCAAAACUCAAAAAGCGGUCCCAGUUCGGACUGUAGGCUGAAAUUCGCCUACACGAAGUUGGAAUUGCUAGUAAUGGCAGGUCAGCAUACUGCCGUGAAUACGUUCCCGGGCCUUGUACACACCGCCCGUCACACCAUGAGAGUUGGGAAUACCCGAAGCCUGUGAGCCAACUAUUUAACAUAGAAGCAGCAGUCGAAGGUAGAAUCAAUGAUUGGGGUGAAGUCGUAACAAGGUAGCCGUAGGAGAACCUGCGGCUGGAUCACCUCCUU